UUGGGUAGGGGAGCGUUCUGUAAGCCUGUGAAGGUGUGUCGUGAGGCAUGCUGGAGGUAUCAGAAGUGCGAAUGCUGACAUAAGUAACGAUAAAGCGGGUGAAAAGCCCGCUCGCCGGAAGACCAAGGGUUCCUGUCCAACGUUAAUCGGGGCAGGGUGAGUCGACCCCUAAGGCGAGGCCGAAAGGCGUAGUCGAUGGGAAACGGGUUAAUAUUCCCGUACUUGGUGUUACUGCGAAGGGGGGACGGAGAAGGCUAUGUUGGCCGGGCGACGGUUGUCCCGGUUUAAGCGUGUAGGUGUGUGUUCCAGGUAAAUCCGGUUCACUUUAACACUGAGGCGUGACGACGAGGCACUACGGUGCUGAAGCAACAAAUGCCCUGCUUCCAGGAAAAGCCUCUAAGCAUCAGGUAACAUCAAAUCGUACCCCAAACCGACACAGGUGGUCAGGUAGAGAAUACCAAGGCGCUUGAGAGAACUCGGGUGAAGGAACUAGGCAAAAUGGUGCCGUAACUUCGGGAGAAGGCACGCUGACACGUAGGUGAAGUGAUUUACUCAUGGAGCUGAAGUCAGUCGAAGAUACCAGCUGGCUGCAACUGUUUAUUAAAAACACAGCACUGUGCAAACACGAAAGUGGACGUAUACGGUGUGACGCCUGCCCGGUGCCGGAAGGUUAAUUGAUGGGGUCAGCGCAAGCGAAGCUCCUGAUCGAAGCCCCGGUAAACGGCGGCCGUAACUAUAACGGUCCUAAGGUAGCGAAAUUCCUUGUCGGGUAAGUUCCGACCUGCACGAAUGGCGUAAUGAUGGCCAGGCUGUCUCCACCCGAGACUCAGUGAAAUUGAACUCGCUGUGAAGAUGCAGUGUACCCGCGGCAAGACGGAAAGACCCCGUGAACCUUUACUAUAGCUUGACACUGAACAUUGAGCCUUGAUGUGUAG
This 935-nucleotide ribosomal RNA is filed under the name Salmonella enterica. RNAcentral's name for it is "partial 23S ribosomal RNA". It matches the Rfam family "Bacterial large subunit ribosomal RNA", at positions 1224 to 2141 of the family's 2925-position model. Lineage: Bacteria; Pseudomonadati; Pseudomonadota; Gammaproteobacteria; Enterobacterales; Enterobacteriaceae. The record is from RNAcentral. RNAcentral also lists the same sequence under 1 other name.